RNAcentral lists this ribosomal RNA (2927 nucleotides) under Escherichia coli. Its description in RNAcentral is "partial 23S ribosomal RNA". It matches the Rfam family "Bacterial large subunit ribosomal RNA". Lineage: Bacteria; Pseudomonadati; Pseudomonadota; Gammaproteobacteria; Enterobacterales; Enterobacteriaceae. The record is from RNAcentral.
GGGUUGUGAGGUUAAGCGACUAAGCGUACACGGUGGAUGCCCUGGCAGUCAGAGGCGAUGAAGGACGUGCUAAUCUGCGAUAAGCGUCGGUAAGGUGAUAUGAACCGUUAUAACCGGCGAUUUCCGAAUGGGGAAACCCAGUGUGUUUCGACACACUAUCAUUAACUGAAUCCAUAGGUUAAUGAGGCGAACCGGGGGAACUGAAACAUCUAAGUACCCCGAGGAAAAGAAAUCAACCGAGAUUCCCCCAGUAGCGGCGAGCGAACGGGGAGCAGCCCAGAGCCUGAAUCAGUGUGUGUGUUAGUGGAAGCGUCUGGAAAGGCGCGCGAUACAGGGUGACAGCCCCGUACACAAAAAUGCACAUGCUGUGAGCUCGAUGAGUAGGGCGGGACACGUGGUAUCCUGUCUGAAUAUGGGGGGACCAUCCUCCAAGGCUAAAUACUCCUGACUGACCGAUAGUGAACCAGUACCGUGAGGGAAAGGCGAAAAGAACCCCGGCGAGGGGAGUGAAAAAGAACCUGAAACCGUGUACGUACAAGCAGUGGGAGCACGCUUAGGCGUGUGACUGCGUACCUUUUGUAUAAUGGGUCAGCGACUUAUAUUCUGUAGCAAGGUUAACCGAAUAGGGGAGCCGAAGGGAAACCGAGUCUUAACUGGGCGUUAAGUUGCAGGGUAUAGACCCGAAACCCGGUGAUCUAGCCAUGGGCAGGUUGAAGGUUGGGUAACACUAACUGGAGGACCGAACCGACUAAUGUUGAAAAAUUAGCGGAUGACUUGUGGCUGGGGGUGAAAGGCCAAUCAAACCGGGAGAUAGCUGGUUCUCCCCGAAAGCUAUUUAGGUAGCGCCUCGUGAAUUCAUCUCCGGGGGUAGAGCACUGUUUCGGCAAGGGGGUCAUCCCGACUUACCAACCCGAUGCAAACUGCGAAUACCGGAGAAUGUUAUCACGGGAGACACACGGCGGGUGCUAACGUCCGUCGUGAAGAGGGAAACAACCCAGACCGCCAGCUAAGGUCCCAAAGUCAUGGUUAAGUGGGAAACGAUGUGGGAAGGCCCAGACAGCCAGGAUGUUGGCUUAGAAGCAGCCAUCAUUUAAAGAAAGCGUAAUAGCUCACUGGUCGAGUCGGCCUGCGCGGAAGAUGUAACGGGGCUAAACCAUGCACCGAAGCUGCGGCAGCGACGCUGAUGCGUUGUUGGGUAGGGGAGCGUUCUGUAAGCCUGCGAAGGUGUGCUGUGAGGCAUGCUGGAGGUAUCAGAAGUGCGAAUGCUGACAUAAGUAACGAUAAAGCGGGUGAAAAGCCCGCUCGCCGGAAGACCAAGGGUUCCUGUCCAACGUUAAUCGGGGCAGGGUGAGUCGACCCCUAAGGCGAGGCCGAAAGGCGUAGUCGAUGGGAAACAGGUUAAUAUUCCUGUACUUGGUGUUACUGCGAAGGGGGGACGGAGAAGGCUAUGUUGGCCGGGCGACGGUUGUCCCGGUUUAAGCGUGUAGGCUGGUUUUCCAGGCAAAUCCGGAAAAUCAAGGCUGAGGCGUGAUGACGAGGCACUACGGUGCUGAAGCAACAAAUGCCCUGCUUCCAGGAAAAGCCUCUAAGCAUCAGGUAACAUCAAAUCGUACCCCAAACCGACACAGGUGGUCAGGUAGAGAAUACCAAGGCGCUUGAGAGAACUCGGGUGAAGGAACUAGGCAAAAUGGUGCCGUAACUUCGGGAGAAGGCACGCUGAUAUGUAGGUGAAGUCCCUUGCGGAUGGAGCUGAAAUCAGUCGAAGAUACCAGCUGGCUGCAACUGUUUAUUAAAAACACAGCACUGUGCAAACACGAAAGUGGACGUAUACGGUGUGACGCCUGCCCGGUGCCGGAAGGUUAAUUGAUGGGGUUAGCCGCAAGGCGAAGCUCUUGAUCGAAGCCCCGGUAAACGGCGGCCGUAACUAUAACGGUCCUAAGGUAGCGAAAUUCCUUGUCGGGUAAGUUCCGACCUGCACGAAUGGCGUAAUGAUGGCCAGGCUGUCUCCACCCGAGACUCAGUGAAAUUGAACUCGCUGUGAAGAUGCAGUGUACCCGCGGCAAGACGGAAAGACCCCGUGAACCUUUACUAUAGCUUGACACUGAACAUUGAGCCUUGAUGUGUAGGAUAGGUGGGAGGCUUUGAAGUGUGGACGCCAGUCUGCAUGGAGCCGACCUUGAAAUACCACCCUUUAAUGUUUGAUGUUCUAACGUUGACCCGUAAUCCGGGUUGCGGACAGUGUCUGGUGGGUAGUUUGACUGGGGCGGUCUCCUCCUAAAGAGUAACGGAGGAGCACGAAGGUUGGCUAAUCCUGGUCGGACAUCAGGAGGUUAGUGCAAUGGCAUAAGCCAGCUUGACUGCGAGCGUGACGGCGCGAGCAGGUGCGAAAGCAGGUCAUAGUGAUCCGGUGGUUCUGAAUGGAAGGGCCAUCGCUCAACGGAUAAAAGGUACUCCGGGGAUAACAGGCUGAUACCGCCCAAGAGUUCAUAUCGACGGCGGUGUUUGGCACCUCGAUGUCGGCUCAUCACAUCCUGGGGCUGAAGUAGGUCCCAAGGGUAUGGCUGUUCGCCAUUUAAAGUGGUACGCGAGCUGGGUUUAGAACGUCGUGAGACAGUUCGGUCCCUAUCUGCCGUGGGCGCUGGAGAACUGAGGGGGGCUGCUCCUAGUACGAGAGGACCGGAGUGGACGCAUCACUGGUGUUCGGGUUGUCAUGCCAAUGGCACUGCCCGGUAGCUAAAUGCGGAAGAGAUAAGUGCUGAAAGCAUCUAAGCACGAAACUUGCCCCGAGAUGAGUUCUCCCUGACCCUUUAAGGGUCCUGAAGGAACGUUGAAGACGACGACGUUGAUAGGCCGGGUGUGUAAGCGCAGCGAUGCGUUGAGCUAACCGGUACUAAUGAACCGUGAGGCUUAACCUUACAACGCCGAAG